AUUGAACGCUGGCGACAGGCCUAACACAUGCAAGUCGAACGGUAACAGGAAGAAGCUUGCUUCUUUGCUGACGAGUGGCGGACGGGUGAGUAAUGUCUGGGAAACUGCCUGAUGGAGGGGGAUAACUACUGGAAACGGUAGCUAAUACCGCAUAACGUCGCAAGACCAAAAAGGGGGACCUUCGGGCCUCUUGCCAUCGGAUGUGCCCAGAUGGGAUUAGCUAGUAGGUGGGGUAACGGCUCACCUAGGCGACGAUCCCUAGCUGGUCUGAGAGGAUGACCAGCCACACUGGAACUGAGACACGGUCCAGACUCCUACGGGAGGCAGCAGUGGGGAAUAUUGCACAAUGGGCGCAAGCCUGAUGCAGCCAUGCCGCGUGUAUGAAGAAGGCCUUCGGGUUGUAAAGUACUUUCAGCGGGGAGGAAGGGAGUAAAGUUAAUACCUUUGCUCAUUGACGUUACCCGCAGAAGAAGCACCGGCUAACUCCGUG
This 490-nucleotide ribosomal RNA is filed under the name uncultured bacterium. RNAcentral's name for it is "partial 16S ribosomal RNA". It matches the Rfam family "Bacterial small subunit ribosomal RNA", at positions 30 to 507 of the family's 1533-position model. The record is from RNAcentral.